GAUUUCUGGCUUGAAACAUUUGGCCGGCCACGGUUUCGUGUGUUAGUGCUUUGUGUUCUGGCCGUCCUUCCAAUCGCUAUUCACCUUUCUUCAUUGAUUGGUGAGUGGUAUUGGAUCUUUUACUUUGAAAAAAUUAGAGUGUUUCAAGCAGGCUUUAUGCUAUGAAUACAUUAGCAUGGAAUAAUAAUUUAGGACUUUGGUCUUAUUUUGUUGGUUUCUAAGGCUGAAGUAAUGAUUGAUAGGGAUAGUUGGGGGUGCUAGUAUUCCGUGGCCAGAGGUGAAAUUCUUGGAUUCGCUGAAGACUAACUUAUGCGAAAGCAUU
RNAcentral lists this ribosomal RNA (322 nucleotides) under Sandonidae sp. Its description in RNAcentral is "SSU rRNA". The stretch from base 62 to 322 matches the Rfam family "Eukaryotic small subunit ribosomal RNA", at positions 694 to 955 of the family's 1831-position model. The record is from RNAcentral. Lineage: Eukaryota; Cercozoa; Glissomonadida; Sandonidae.